This 22-nucleotide non-coding RNA is filed under the name Drosophila melanogaster (fruit fly). The record is from RNAcentral. Lineage: Eukaryota; Metazoa; Arthropoda; Insecta; Diptera; Drosophilidae.
UCAUCGAGAUAUUAAGGACUGG